CAGCAGCCGCGGUAAAACAGAGGAUGCAAGCGUUAUCCGGAAUGAUUGGGCGUAAAGCGUCUGUAGGUGGCUUUUCAAGUCCGCCGUCAAAUCCCAGGGCUCAACCCUGGACAGGCGGUGGAAACUACCAAGCUGGAGUACGGUAGGGGCAGAGGGAAUUUCCGGUGGAGCGGUGAAAUGCGUAGAGAUGUGGAGGAACACCAGUGGCGAAGGCGACUCUCUGGUCUGUAACUGACGCUGAGGAGCGAAAGCGUGGGGAGCGAACAGGAUUAGAUACCCCAGUAGUCCCUGUCUCUUAUAC
This 301-nucleotide ribosomal RNA is filed under the name uncultured bacterium. RNAcentral's name for it is "partial 16S ribosomal RNA". It matches the Rfam family "Bacterial small subunit ribosomal RNA", at positions 509 to 807 of the family's 1533-position model. The record is from RNAcentral.